CGCCGGCGCGACGCGCGCUCAAAGCAGGCGGCGGGGGAGGGGCCGGACUUGUGCGGGCUCCGGCCCCGCCCCCCUCUGGGAAGUGCGCAGGCAGCUGCCGCCAGUCCCGCUCACGCGCGCCUCGGGGCGGGGCCUGAGGCAGAGCGAUUCCCGCCCCCGCCCGGCGGAUGCCUCCCCGCGCUGCCCUGUCCGGGCCUCCGCGCCCCUGGCCGGAGCCGCGUACAACGUGCGGGUGUUGUGCCGUUAUCUCGAAGCGCCUCCACAAGCCUUGGGCUCCGUCUGCAGAACAAAGUUUUCCUGGAAUAGCUACUUCAGCAAGGGGGGGACCAGUCUGUUCCCAGAAGGCAGAUACUAGCAGAGCUUCUGUUGAUCAGGGAGCUGGUGUAACUGGUAGCAGAAAAACUUCUGCACAAUACUUUAUACUUAUACUGGAGGUUUUUGCCCGUGUUAAAGCAGCAGCAGCUCUGUAAUAUAGUCAAGACCUUGCUUCUCAUUGUGAACGACCACUGUAUUUUCAUUUCCCGUAUCUGUUUAUAUCACUGGGUCAAAAGAGAAUGCCUUUUGUUACGCUAAAGGAACAAACAAUUAUCUGCAUUUGUAAGAAAAUCUGAUGGAAAUGAUAAAAUACAUAAUUACAUUUAGCUUUUUUAAAACUGGAGAGAAAACCGUUUAACAAGCUGGUUCAAAGAGAAGACCAUCACUUUUAGAAGAUCAAAGACUUGACUUUGUUUCACAUCUGUCAUGUGUUGAAGGAUUUAGAGUAUCUGUAAUCAUAACAGCAUGUGUAUUUCCAAACCAAUUUCUGCCAGUCACAGAAAAAUCCUGCCCUCACCCAAAAUUUGAUUUGAUUUGAGAUGCAGAAUAAACACAGAUGUGCUCUCACUCUCCCCACA
Molecule: long non-coding RNA, 893 nt
Organism: Alligator mississippiensis (American alligator)
Lineage: Eukaryota; Metazoa; Chordata; Crocodylia; Alligatoridae
Exons: 2
Source: RefSeq, a predicted model, not a curated record